Molecule: ribosomal RNA, 607 nt
Filed under: uncultured organism
Description: bacterial SSU rRNA
Rfam family: Bacterial small subunit ribosomal RNA
Source: RNAcentral
ACGGGUGAGUACACGUAGGUGAUCUACCCCAGAGACGGGGAUACGGGUGGAGGAUNCANGCUAUACGGAUAGGCUUGUUCGGUNCAAGGGACAGGGANAGGCUACGGCGCUCUGGGAGGAGCAUGCGGNCCAUCAGCUAGUUGGCGGAGUAACGGCCCACCAAGGCAAAGACGGGUAGGGGGUGUGAGAGCAUGGACCCCCACAAUGGGACUGGAACACGGACCAUACUCCUACGGGAGGCAGCAGCAGGNAAUAUUGCACAAUGGACGGAAGUCUGAUGCAGCGACGCCGCGUGGAUGAAGAAGGCCCUCGGGUUGUAAAAUCCUUUACAGGGGGAAGAGGAAGGACGGUACCCCUGGAACAAGUGUCGGCUAACUACGUGCCAGCAGACGCGGUAAGACGUAGGACACAAGCGUUAUCCGGAUUUACUGGGCGUAAAGCGUCUGCAGGCGGACAGGUAAGUUGGGCGUGAAAGCUCCGGGCCCAAACCGGAGAGGUCGUACAAUACUGCGUGUCUAGAGGGUGUCAGAGGGGAGUGGAAUUUCCGGAGUAGCGGUAAAAUGCGCAGAGAUCGGAAAGAACACCAAUGGCGAAGGCAGCUCCCUGG